AAGGCGAAAAGAACCCCGGCGAGGGGAGUGAAAAAGAACCUGAAACCGUGUACGUACAAGCAGUGGGAGCACAGGUUUACCUGUGUGACUGCGUACCUUUUGUAUAAUGGGUCAGCGACUUAUAUUCUGUAGCAAGGUUAACCGUAUAGGGGAGCCGUAGGGAAACCGAGUCUUAACCGGGCGUUAAGUUGCAGGGUAUAGACCCGAAACCCGGUGAUCUAGCCAUGGGCAGGUUGAAGGUUGGGUAACACUAACUGGAGGACCGAACCGACUAAUGUUGAAAAAUUAGCGGAUGACCUGUGGCUGGGGGUGAAAGGCCAAUCAAACCGGGAGAUAGCUGGUUCUCCCCGAAAGCUAUUUAGGUAGCGCCUCGUGAAUUCAUCUCCGGGGGUAGAGCACUGUUUCGGCUAGGGGGCCAUCCCGGCUUACCAACCCGAUGCAAACUGCGAAUACCGGAGAAUGUUAUCACGGGAGACACACGGCGGGUGCUAACGUCCGUCGUGAAGAGGGAAACAACCCAGACCGCCAGCUAAGGUCCCAAAGUCAUGGUUAAGUGGGAAACGAUGUGGGAAGGCCCAGACAGCCAGGAUGUUGGCUUAGAAGCAGCCAUCAUUUAAAGAAAGCGUAAUAGCUCACUGGUCGAGUCGGCCUGCGCGGAAGAUGUAACGGGGCUAAACCAUGCACCGAAGCUGCGGCAGCGAACGUAUCACCCAAGACAACUUUACGGAGUUGACGAUUGACGGAGCGAAGCGACGUCAAAGCGUUCAUUAAAGUCGAGUUGGCUUAGGGAUACGUUCGUUGGGUAGGGGAGCGUUCUGUAAGCCUGUGAAGGUGUGUCGUGAGGCAUGCUGGAGGUAUCAGAAGUGCGAAUGCUGACAUAAGUAACGAUAAAGCGGGUGAAAAGCCCGCUCGCCGGAAGACCAAGGGUUCCUGUCCAACGUUAAUCGGGGCAGGGUGAGUCGACCCCUAAGGCGAGGCCGAAAGGCGUAGUCGAUGGGAAACGGGUUAAUAUUCCCGUACUUGGUGUUACUGCGAAGGGGGGACGGAGAAGGCUAUGUUGGCCGGGCGACGGUUGUCCCGGUUUAAGCGUGUAGGUGUGUGUUCCAGGUAAAUCCGGUUCACUUUAACACUGAGGCGUGACGACGAGGCACUACGGUGCUGAAGCAACAAAUGCCCUGCUUCCAGGAAAAGCCUCUAAGCAUCAGGUAACACGAAAUCGUACCCCAAACCGACACAGGUGGUCAGGUAGAGAAUACCAAGGCGCUUGAGAGAACUCGGGUGAAGGAACUAGGCAAAAUGGUGCCGUAACUUCGGGAGAAGGCACGCUGACACGUAGGUGAAGUGAUUUACUCAUGGAGCUGAAGUCAGUCGAAGAUACCAGCUGGCUGCAACUGUUUAUUAAAAACACAGCACUGUGCAAACACGAAAGUGGACGUAUACGGUGUGACGCCUGCCCGGUGCCGGAAGGUUAAUUGAUGGGGUCAGCGCAAGCGAAGCUCCUGAUCGAAGCCCCGGUAAACGGCGGCCGUAACUAUAACGGUCCUAAGGUAGCGAAAUUCCUUGUCGGGUAAGUUCCGACCUGCACGAAUGGCGUAAUGAUGGCCAGGCUGUCUCCACCCGAGACUCAGUGAAAUUGAACUCGCUGUGAAGAUGCAGUGUACCCGCGGCAAGACGGAAAGACCCCGUGAACCUUUACUAUAGCUUGACACUGAACAUUGAGCCUUGAUGUGUAGGAUAGGUGGGAGGCUUUGAAGUGUGGACGCCAGUCUGCAUGGAGCCGACCUUGAAAUACCACCCUUUAAUGUUUGAUGUUCUAACGUGGACCCGUAAUCCGGGUUGCGGACAGUGUCUGGUGGGUAGUUUGACUGGGGCGGUCUCCUCCUAAAGAGUAACGGAGGAGCACGAAGGUUGGCUAAUCCUGGUCGGACAUCAGGAGGUUAGUGCAAUGGCAUAAGCCAGCUUGACUGCGAGCGUGACGGCGCGAGCAGGUGCGAAAGCAGGUCAUAGUGAUCCGGUGGUUCUGAAUGGAAGGGCCAUCGCUCAACGGAUAAAAGGUACUCCGGGGAUAACAGGCUGAUACCGCCCAAGAGUUCAUAUCGACGGCGGUGUUUGGCACCUCGAUGUCGGCUCAUCACAUCCUGGGGCUGAAGUAGGUCCCAAGGGUAUGGCUGUUCGCCAUUUAAAGUGGUACGCGAGCUGGGUUUAGAACGUCGUGAGACAGUUCGGUCCCUAUCUGCCGUGGGCGCUGGAGAACUGAGGGGGGCUGCUCCUAGUACGAGAGGACCGGAGUGGACGCAUCACUGGUGUUCGGGUUGUCAUGCCAAUGGCACUGCCCGGUAGCUAAAUGCGGAAGAGAUAAGUGCUGAAAGCAUCUAAGCACGAAACUUGCCCCGAGAUGAGUUCUCCCUGAGACUUAGAGUCUCCUGAAGGAACGUUGAAGACGACGACGUUGAUAGGCCGGGUGUGUAAGCGCAGCGAUGCGUUGAGCUAACCGGUACUAAUGAACCGUGAGGCUUAACCUU
RNAcentral lists this ribosomal RNA (2522 nucleotides) under Salmonella enterica subsp. enterica serovar Typhimurium str. DT104. RNAcentral describes it as "bacterial LSU rRNA". It matches the Rfam family "Bacterial large subunit ribosomal RNA", at positions 511 to 2925 of the family's 2925-position model. The record is from RNAcentral. Lineage: Bacteria; Pseudomonadati; Pseudomonadota; Gammaproteobacteria; Enterobacterales; Enterobacteriaceae.